UACGUAGGUGGCAAGCGUUGUCCGGAUUUACUGGGCGUAAAGGGCGUGCAGGCGGUUUGUUAAGUCUAGGGUGAAAGCUCCCGGCUCAACUGGGAGAGGUCCUUGGAUACUGGCAGACUUGAGGAGAGUAGAGGAGAGUGGAAUUCCCGGUGUAGUGGUGAUAUGCGUAGAUAUCUGGAGGAACACCGGUGGCGAAGGCGGCAUUCUGGACCGACAUUGACGCUGAGGCGCGAAAGCCAGGGGAGCAAACGGG
RNAcentral lists this ribosomal RNA (253 nucleotides) under uncultured bacterium. Its description in RNAcentral is "partial 16S ribosomal RNA". It matches the Rfam family "Bacterial small subunit ribosomal RNA", at positions 524 to 776 of the family's 1533-position model. The record is from RNAcentral.